ACUUGUCUUGCUUGUUGAUCUCUGACCGGACAUAUCUCAUUUUUACUAUUCUCGUCUGUGGUUUAUAUUUCUUGAAGCAUUUUUGAAUAUCUGAUUUUGUUAUUAUUACAAAUUCAGUAAUUUUGAAUGGAGAUAAAUUCGCACAUUCAUCUGUAACCAUCAACGAAAAGGAAAAUUUACAGUUGGCAAAAUCAACAUGUUGAAU
This is a long non-coding RNA of Arabidopsis thaliana (thale cress), 205 nucleotides long. RefSeq annotates it as other RNA. The record is from RefSeq. NCBI's taxonomy places the organism in Eukaryota, Viridiplantae, Streptophyta, Magnoliopsida, Brassicales, Brassicaceae. The transcript has a single exon.